This is a long non-coding RNA of Oncorhynchus keta (chum salmon), 698 nucleotides long. RefSeq lists it as uncharacterized. The record is from RefSeq and is a predicted model, not a curated record. The transcript has 3 exons. Lineage: Eukaryota; Metazoa; Chordata; Actinopteri; Salmoniformes; Salmonidae.
AAAGAGGGAUAGAAGAGGUAGGAGGAGAGGGUAGUAAAAGGGGAGAGAUGAAAGAGGGAUAGAAGAGGUAGGAGGAGAGGGUAGUAAAAGGGGAGAGAUGAAAGAGGGAUAGAAGAGGUAGGAGGAGAGGGUAGUAAAAGGGGAGAGAUGAAAGAGGGAUAGAAGAGGUAGGAGGAGAGGGUAGUAAAAGGGGAGAGAUGAAAGAGGGAUAGAAGAGGUAGGAGGAGAGGGUAGUAAAAGGGGAGAGAUGAAAGAGGGAUAGAAGAGGUAGGAGGAGAGGGUAGUAAAAGGGGAGAGAUGAAAGAGGGAUAGAAGAGGUAGGAGGAGAGGGUAGUAAAAGGGGAGAGAUGAAAGAGGGAUAGAAGAGGUAGGAGGAGAGGGUAGUAAAAGGGGAGAGAUGAAAGAGGGAUAGAAGAGGUAGGAGGAGAGGGUAGUAAAAGGGGAGAGAUGAAAGAGGGAUAGAAGAGGUAGGAGAAGAGGGUAGUAAAAGGGGAGAGAUGAAAGAGGGAUAGAGAGGAAGACAUGAGAAAGUCAGUGGAAAAGUAAUAAGAAAAGGGUCAUUUGUAAUAACUGGUAAACAUUCUUUACUAUUCAAUGGGUUGUUUUUUACCAGGCCUCAAAUUGAGAACAACUUACUUCCACAGAGAUGAUAUAUUUCAUUAUUUAACACUCAGGAAGUGACCUCACAGUGGAGAGGA